ACAUCACGUGCCUCUGUUGCAUACAUUUCAAUGAUGUGAGAGGUUUCUAAAGCAUCUCUGCUAUCAUGAAAUUUAGAAAAGUAUUUUUCCUUUUGUUUUUUAGGAAAGUCGCAUUCCCAUAGUUCCAGGGUCUAUGGCUUUACAAAAAUCAUCAAAUAUUUUGGAUUCAGAGAAAAAAAUCAAUCACGUGGAUCCCUCCCAGUCACCCGGAAAAUGCAAGGAAAAUCAACAAAAUUAUGCAGCCUUUAGCAGCUCAAGUAACUGCUCUCGUAAGUGUAAGCAGGUAGGUCUUUGUCAGUAUAUUUGCUCUUCAGAGAUAAAAUAAUCCAGCCAGCUGCAUUAAUUAAAAAAUAAAGAACCUAAAAUACUUUGGGGCUCA
Molecule: long non-coding RNA, 379 nt
Filed under: Calidris pygmaea (Spoon-billed sandpiper)
Lineage: Eukaryota; Metazoa; Chordata; Aves; Charadriiformes; Scolopacidae
Description: lncRNA (ENSCPGG00000005397.1)
Source: RNAcentral